Long non-coding RNA from Cephus cinctus (wheat stem sawfly), 524 nucleotides. RefSeq lists it as uncharacterized. The transcript has 2 exons. The record is from RefSeq and is a predicted model, not a curated record. NCBI's taxonomy places the organism in Eukaryota, Metazoa, Arthropoda, Insecta, Hymenoptera, Cephidae.
UUUGUAUCAUACAGACUUUUGUUUGUGUCAUGGCCGCACGCACCUUCUUAACCACCGUUGGAAUACGAACGAGCUAUUACGAUGAGUUGCUAUAGUUAUUUAUUCAUUGCCAAUUGAUGCUCGACACUUCGUAUACGAACCCCUCGACAUUCUACUAGCAGGAAAAUUUUAUAAAUAAAUCCCAUUAUCCAUUGUACCUAUCGAUAUUUCAUUUAACGGUGAUGGUCAUUAAAAUUUGAGUUCAACAAUCUUUUUUUAGAAAGUGACAAACUUCACUUCGUUUCAGAGAAUCACACAGUAGCCGCCAUUGUAAUUCUACGUAUGUACAAAAGAGUUUGGCGCGUGCUAAAAACGUAACAAUUAAAUUAUCCAAAAAUGGAAGUCCAAGCAAUGGCUUAGGGAUUGUUUUGCGACACUAAAAGUGUGUAUGUAGCGAAAGGAAGAUUCGCCAAAUUCCAUUCUUUAUUAUCGAUCGUCCAAUUGAAUAAAGUCAAUGGAUAAUUAUCCUGGAUACGUGAGCGUAA